GCCCUCCUAGCUCAAUCGGAAGAGCGUGGGACUUUUAAUCAUAGUUCUUCCUCCCUGAGGUUUGAAUUAGCGGAUUAGACAUCCCAAGGUCGUGAGUUCGAGCCUCACGGAGGGCG
This is a non-coding RNA of Orbilia ellipsospora, 116 nucleotides long. Lineage: Eukaryota; Fungi; Ascomycota; Orbiliomycetes; Orbiliales; Orbiliaceae. The record is from the annotation of a GenBank genome assembly.